UACAGAGGUCUCAAGCGUUGUUCGGAUUCAUUGGGCGUAAAGGGCGGGUAGGCGGCCACCGCAAGUCAGUUGUGAAAUCUCUGGGCUUAACCCAGAAAGGUCAACUGAUACUGCAGGGCUAGAGUGCAGAAGGGGCAACUGGAAUUCUCGGUGUAGCGGUGAAAUGCGUAGAUAUCGAGAGGAACACCUGCGGCGAAGGCGGGUUGCUGGGCUGACACUGACGCUGAACUGCGAAAGCUAGGGGAGCGAACGGG
RNAcentral lists this ribosomal RNA (254 nucleotides) under uncultured bacterium. Its description in RNAcentral is "partial 16S ribosomal RNA". It matches the Rfam family "Bacterial small subunit ribosomal RNA", at positions 524 to 776 of the family's 1533-position model. The record is from RNAcentral.